GACGAACGCUGGCGGCGUGCUUAACACAUGCAAGUCGAGCGGUAAGGCCCUUUCGGGGGUACACGAGCGGCGAACGGGUGAGUAACACGUGGGUGACCUGCCCUCAGCUCUGGGAUAAGCCUGAGAAACCGGGUCUAAUACCGGAUAUGACUCCAUGACGCAUGUUGUGGGGUGGAAAGCCUUGUGCGGCUGAGGAUGGGCCCGCGGCCUAUCAGCUUGUUGGUGGGGGGAUGGCCUACC
RNAcentral lists this ribosomal RNA (240 nucleotides) under uncultured bacterium. RNAcentral's name for it is "partial 16S ribosomal RNA". It matches the Rfam family "Bacterial small subunit ribosomal RNA", at positions 28 to 269 of the family's 1533-position model. The record is from RNAcentral.